RNAcentral lists this long non-coding RNA (1163 nucleotides) under Anolis carolinensis (green anole). RNAcentral describes it as "lncRNA (ENSACAG00000038703.1)". Lineage: Eukaryota; Metazoa; Chordata; Lepidosauria; Squamata; Anolidae. The record is from RNAcentral.
GCCACUCGGUGGGAAGGUAACGGUGCUCCAUGCAGUCCAAGGAGGUGUCUAUGGACAAUGCUGGCUCUUCGGCUUAGAAAUCGAGAUGAGCACCAACCCCAGACUAGGACAUGAGUAGACUUAAUGUAAUGGGGAAACCUUUACCUUUACUGCAGUUAUAUUUGGCUCUUUUAAAAAGCAAAUUUACUGUUAAAAAUAAAAUAAGUUAUGGAACAGUGGACACGUAGGAAGAAGUUACAAGGGUAUGUGGAAGUACGAUCACAGGAGCACAAAUUGCUGAAUUGGUGCAAUUUUACAAAUGUAGACAGGUGAGAUAUUGAAGGUGUUCAUACUCAUAUGUGUCCACUAUCAAUGAAACAGUGAAUAACCUCAGAGAGGAGGAGAAAAAAUACCCCCUAUAAUUUGGAGUCAAAGGAAUGUAAAGUUCCCCCAAUGUUCAUGCAUCAAACAUCCCCCGCAGGUUGUGAGCCCUUAAUCCCUUCGUUCAUUUACAACUUUCUGUCAAUCAGCAACAUAACAAACUUUUCAAUUAUCGCUGCCUAAGUAAGGCAAUUGUCUGCGUUCUGCUCCAGUCCUCCUUUGCUUCUCCUAAAGUAGUAAAAGACGGAGCAAUUGUGUUUUAAUAAAAAAAAUUGAUUUGCUCCCCCGCCUGCUCUUUAACAAACACAAACAUCCCAUGGAUCUCCAAUGAUUUAUGUCUACAAUUUGCAAAAAAUUAUUUCGCUAUUGAUUUUUGCAGAUUCGUUUUGCUUUGUUCACCUCGUUUACUCAAUUAGGGUAAAUAUCACAUGGGCAGGCAUAUAAAUUACUCACCAUGGAGCCGGUGAGAGAGCGAGCCUUGAAAAAAAGACACUAAAGAGGUUCUAACAAGAUUCACGGUCAACAAUCUCAUAAAUGGAAAGACUCUUAAUAAGGUGACCACUUUGCACCAAUCCGGGAUCAAAUUUAGACCAAAUGACAGGGUAGAAAUAAUAGUGGGAAGGAGGGACCACUUCAAUAAGGCCGAGGAUCUGCUUCAGUUUCAUAAAAGAAACCCUCUUGGCGAAACCACUUGGCGAUUACAACACUUUGGAGAGACUCUUUCAAGUUCAGACCAAAACUCAUUUCAUGAAGAGUUAAGUCCCUGCUGAUCUUCAGAGCUCUCCCACACACUCCCCUCCAUU